This is a non-coding RNA of Anas platyrhynchos (mallard), 2542 nucleotides long. Lineage: Eukaryota; Metazoa; Chordata; Aves; Anseriformes; Anatidae. The record is from RefSeq and is a predicted model, not a curated record.
CUUACAAGUCAUUAUUUACAGAUACUAUUACAGUACUGGGGACCAGGAACAGCCAUCCCUGCCUUUGUCACUGCAGGCUAUUGAUACAUACUACGAAAAACUACAUAAGACAACCCAGCUGGAAAUCAGAGCUGAAGAAUAAUAAACCAGCUUGGAGUACCUGUUGCAACUGAAUCCCACGAGAUACUGCAAAUGUGAAUGUACUGUCGCAAAAGUGUACUGGUUCGUUGCUUGAACAAACCAAGACCUUCUGCUCGAGAGGAACCCUGAAUCUACCAGCCACGUGAGGGCAGCAAAGACUCAAGCUGUAAGAGGGCCGCAUGAGCCAUUGCAACAACUGAACAGCUAUGUUUUAGGAGUGCCAUGUCAGGAUGGUGGAAGUUCUGCCACUGCAGUCUUUUAGAAAUGACCAGACAAAGCAAUGACAGUACAUACUUGAUUGCACUCUCUCGCAAUGAGGAAGGUUAAUUGGCUUUCAACAGGGCAUUUUGGCCUCUGUGAGGAUCUGCUUUGAAGAAUCACGUGUGAUAUGGUUCUGGAGAGAUAAGGGGUUCCAGAGAGCUGGUUGAUUUUCCAGUAUCACCUCUUCCAAGCUCAACAGCUAUCCAUCCCAAUGAGCAGGACAUCAAGCAAGGGCAGCAGGAAGCUUUCAUGGAUCAUUAAAUACCUCCUGACUAAACUCAAAGACAAAAAGGAAUCAUGUAAGAGGUGGAAGGAAAGACUGUCACAAUGGCCAAGCACUGGAUCGUGUUUCCCAUAGAAGUUCUGUUGUAUCCAUCUUUGGAGAUAUUCAAAACCCAGCUGAAUACAGUCUUUCUUUACAUGGCCCUGCUCCAAGCAGGGAGGUUGGACUAGUUAAUUUCCAUAAGCACCUUCCAACUGUGAUUUUGUACUCAAUAGAAGUUGGUUUAUGGGUUGGGGUUUUUUGUUUUGGUUUGUUUGUUUAGUGUGUAUGUUUUUUUUUCUCUUUUUUUUUUCUUUCUUUUUUUUUUCAGUAGUUCAGAGAUACAGUUUAUCAAAUGCAAAAUCUGCUAAUAGUAAACUGGCAUUUUCUUAUAUUUAAUUCCUUAACUGUCUUUAGUAGAAACGAGAGUAUCCUAACUGCUCUUAGUGAAGUAACACAAUAAUGAAUACAGAGUUGCAAUAAUUACAAAUUCAUGGCCAGGUUCGUGUGGCAUAAAAUAACUCCCAGUACUAAUGUAUUUUCUGUAUUUUAUACAGAAAUAAGUUCAAUGAGAAUGACUUCAAGUACAAUUUUAGUGACUGUGGGAGGACAGGUUCACAGCAAGUAAUGAAAUUCCUGAAGGAUUUUUUUUUUUUUAAUUUAUCAACGGAAUAGUAAAGAUAAAGUCUGGAUAUAAGAUAAAUGUCAUUCUCCUAUGAUAUACAUGUCAUUAGAGAUCUCAUAAUUUAUACAUUAUCUUUUCUAGGUAAUAUACCAGGCUGAUUGUAAUGAAGGGAGCUAUUAAAAGAUUAAACCUCUUCUCCAAACACAAUUUCAGUAAUUUGGUCUGGAGUUCUGUGCAAACCAUGCAUUCAAAUAUUUUCAUUAGUGUUAUAUAUGCCAAGAGCAUUCAUCAUCAGCAGAGUUGUUGAGUUCUUUGACAUAACUAUUUUUGGUUGAAUAUGCAGAUUUUUAAAAAUAAAUACUUUAUUUGUUUCAAAAAACCAUUAGGGAAACAUAAACACAAUUCUCUUGAAGAGAGAAUCUUAGCAAAUCUGGGAGAAAUUUAGACUUCGAGUAUUCCUGUUUGUCCAGAAACUAAAAAGCUGGACUAAAAGUGCUAGGCUCUCUGAUGUAUAGUUCACACAGUCCAGAUUACCAGACAUAAGAAUGGCAAAAUAAAAUGCUUUGCUACACCUGUGGUUAGGUCUUCUAGACACUUGAGUCUGUAACAGAGAGUUUAGAUAUCCUGAGAAUCCUGCCUUAAGAUAGAGUUAUAACUGACUGAAUUCUUCACUUUGAAAUAAGCCAAAACUUUUUUCAUAAUGGCUUUUUUAUUAUUAUUAUGAAGCUCACUCUUAGCUGUUUUUAUCCAGCAACCCCCUAGAAAUAAAGUAAAAUUAAAUUAAAAAUUAAAAAAAAAAAAAAAAGUAAUCCCAAGGAUUUGUGGUAGACAAGAUAGUUUCCUUUCUUCAGAAAAACUGACCUAAGAGCUUUUAUCUUUUUGUUUUUUGUUUUUUGUUUUUUUUUAAUUCGUCAGAAUGGGUGUACUAUUUACUAAUUCUCAUUCCAUAAAGUCUGAACAUUUGCCAUUCUCAUUCUGAUUUCAAACAACAUUUUUCUCACAAUAUAAAAUUUGUACAGAACAUAAAUUCUGAAUUUUACCCACUGCUAAUUAGAAGCUGCUAAUGUAACCUCCAUCCUGUAGUACUUACUUAAGUGGUAAAUUACUAUAUCCAAAUGGAAAGAUGUAUCCCUACAGUGGGUUUACGUGGCAAGGUUUUGGUAGCAGGGGGCCAUAGGGGUGGUUUCUGUGAGAAGGAUCAAGAAGCUGCCCCAUGUUUGGUAAGGGCCCCACUGUUUUCCAGAGCUGAGCCA